CGUUCGAAUUGUAGUCUGGA
RNAcentral lists this small nuclear RNA (20 nucleotides) under Arabidopsis thaliana (thale cress). Its description in RNAcentral is "snRNA_07134". The record is from RNAcentral. Lineage: Eukaryota; Viridiplantae; Streptophyta; Magnoliopsida; Brassicales; Brassicaceae.